This 513-nucleotide ribosomal RNA is filed under the name uncultured bacterium. Its description in RNAcentral is "bacterial SSU rRNA". It matches the Rfam family "Bacterial small subunit ribosomal RNA", at positions 28 to 525 of the family's 1533-position model. The record is from RNAcentral.
GAUGAACGCUAGCGAUAGGCCUAACACAUGCAAGUCGAGGGGCAUCACAUGAAGUAGCAAUACGGAUGGUGGCGACCGGCGCACGGGUGAGUAACACGUAUGCAACCUGCCUUCAACAAGGGGAUAACCCGUUGAAAGACGGACUAAUACCCUAUAACACAGGGGUCCCGCAUGGGAAUAUUUGUUAAAGGACAACCGGUUGAAGAUGGGCAUGCGUUCCAUUAGCUAGUUGGCGGGGUAACGGCCCACCAAGGCAACGAUGGAUAGGGGAACUGAGAGGUUUAUCCCCCACACUGGUACUGAGACACUGCCCAGACUCCUACGGGAGGCAGCAGUAGGGAAUUUUCGGCAAUGGGGGAAACCCUGACCGAGCAAUGCCGCGUGAACGAUGAAGGUCUUCGGAUUGUAAAGUUCUGUGAUUGGGGAAGAAUGGUAUUCUUAGGGAAUGAGGAGUACAUGACGGUACCCGAUUAGAAAGCCCCGGCUAACUAUGUGCCAGCAGCCGCGGUAAAU